Molecule: long non-coding RNA, 564 nt
Organism: Girardinichthys multiradiatus
Lineage: Eukaryota; Metazoa; Chordata; Actinopteri; Cyprinodontiformes; Goodeidae
Exons: 2
Source: RefSeq, a predicted model, not a curated record
UGCAGUUUAAAGAGACCCUUGAUUAAAUCUGUUCGCCUGUUAUACCCCUUCAUGUUCUCAACAAACUAAAGCAGGAAAAGGCCGAAUAAAAACUGGGAAACUAAAAUAGACACGCACUUUAUUCAAAAUGUGUCUAGCUGCUUAACCUGUGAAUUUGUUGAGAUAUAAGGACGUUACAGCCACAAACUUUAAUGUGCUUUAAUGGGAUUUUAUCUGAUGAACUGACAACAAAUUCUGCAAAACCUUAAAGUAGAUUCAGCUUCUUUUAAUCUGACACCUCAAAAUAACAUCCAGCGCAACCAACUGGCCUCAGAUCAGUAAAUAGAGUCCACCAACGUGUAGUUUAAUCUGAGUCGAAAUGCAGCUGAUCUGUGAUGGUUUUUAGAGAACAUUAGAGGACAAGCAGCAUCACGAAGACCAAGGAACACAGCAGACAGAAGAAGGUGCUCUGGUCAGGUGAGACUAAAACGGAACUUUUUGGCCUAAAUGUAAAACUGUGUGGAGACGAAAACUCCACCCUAAACGCAUCACCCUGGUGGAGCUAAAUACAUGCUGCAGAAGAGA